GACGAACGCUGGCGGCGUGCUUAACACAUGCAAGUCGAACGGAAAGGCCCUGCUUUUGUGGGGUGCUCGAGUGGCGAACGGGUGAGUAACACGUGAGUAACCUGCCCUUGACUUUGGGAUAACUUCAGGAAACUGGGGCUAAUACCGGAUAGGAGCUCCUGCUGCAUGGUGGGGGUUGGAAAGUUUCGGCGGUUGGGGAUGGACUCGCGGCUUAUCAGCUUGUUGGUGGGGUAGUGGCUUACCAAGGCUUUGACGGGUAGCCGGCCUGGGAGGGUGACCGGCCACAUUGGGACUGAGAUACGGCCCAGACUCCUACGGGAGGCAGCAGUGGGGAAUAUUGCACAAUGGGCGGAAGCCUGAUGCAGCAACGCCGCGUGCGGGAUGACGGCCUUCGGGUUGUGAACCGCUUUCGCCUGUGACGAAGCGUGAGUGACGGUAAUGGGUAAAGAAGCACCGGCUAACUACGUG
Molecule: ribosomal RNA, 468 nt
Filed under: uncultured bacterium
Lineage: Bacteria
Description: partial 16S ribosomal RNA
Rfam family: Bacterial small subunit ribosomal RNA
Source: RNAcentral